This is a long non-coding RNA of Phyllopteryx taeniolatus (common seadragon), 1573 nucleotides long. RefSeq lists it as uncharacterized. The record is from RefSeq and is a predicted model, not a curated record. NCBI's taxonomy places the organism in Eukaryota, Metazoa, Chordata, Actinopteri, Syngnathiformes, Syngnathidae. The transcript is spliced from 4 exons.
UGCGUCGCAUUGUGCGUCCGCGCUCAUUAAUGCGCACAAGUCCUGCUUGUGCGCGCGCCGGUGCCGCGUCGGCACUUUUUGUACCAAACGGGGCUUGUGCACAACGCUUGGAUACAUUUGGAUGUAGAAGCUAGCCUAGCGAGGCCGCUUGAUGUUUUCUUUCAUUUCAUUAUGAAUGAAUGCCAUCUGUUCGGGCUUUAUGAGAUCAAAUGUGAUUUGGGAACUCUCUCGUUUGCUGUAAUAUUUAACGCUUGCUCCAAUUUUACUUGUUUGGCUGCAAGUUUUUGACGCGUUUCUAUUUAUUAUCUUUGAGAGAUUUAGUAAGAUUUGUCACGUUUUUCUUAACGGUGACAUUAUGGAUAAAUAAAUAGUUUGGUCUGUGGCCUGCCCGCCCGCCCAUCAAGUGGGAUAUGAGCACAACCAAGUAAAUCUUUUGCCAUGUGAAAAUGUUGCGAAUUGUGUCGUCACAACUCAGCAAAUGUUUACAUAAUACCCACCUAACACUGAAUUUUUGGGGCACAUGACUUGCCAGCAAGGCUAGCAAUAAAUGUCGUUUCUGAGUCCGCUGAACCAUCUGCCACUCUCCGGCGGGCAUGACGAAGAGAGCGGGCGGGGGGCACCUGGCUGCGACUCGGUGGGCCUCGCUCACGGCCCCCAGGAGAGCUUUUCGUUUUAGAUGAGCUCUUCAUUCUCUGGCCCGCGUUGGAGUUCUUUUGGACUGUGCCGGUGAUACUCGGAUGGAAACCUUUUCACAGGCAGGCCAGCAUGAGGACGACGAAGGCGAACAGGCCGGAGAAGGAGACCACCACCACGGCCAGCGACGACGGCCACGACAGCUCGCUCAGCGGCGCCCCGUCUGCGCACACGCGGUGACGACAAAAGCCAAGAGAAGUCAACGGAAGGCCUGCUAUUACUGCCACUGAAAGAAGAAAAAAAAGCACAGAACUCUUAGAGCAGGCAUUUGCGCAAAGCCAGGGAACGUCUAUCUGGAGGGCUGCACUGGAACUCGACAUCCACAGAAGCCUGAUUCCGCAGAUGCUUGGACCAAAUCCAUCACUAACUGCUGCUCUGCGGGCCUUGAAUUGCCCGUGUAAUGGAAAUUGUGUAUUUUAAAACUUAUUUCCUGUACCUUUAAGAGUGAAUUGCAACAUUUGAUCAAGAACAAUAACGAAAUAGUAUGUCUGACUGUAUGAAUUUCCCCCUAUUGCAUGUGUCUAUGUCAAAUUUUCUGACCAGUUUACAAAGAUAAUAUAUGGCGCAAGUUACCUUGUCUUCAAGUAUUUAUUUCAGGUAUUCUUGAUUGGAACGAGUCUUUUUUUUUUCUUUCUACAACACACCACAAGUACAAAUACAAAACACAAAAAUCGCAUUUGUAUUUUUUUAUAUUUUUAUUUUAGGGAAUGUGUUACACCUAUACUUAUAUUUUAAAAAAUAUGUAUAAAGCAUAUAUAUAUUUGUUCAAAUGCUUGCAAGCCGCUUGAGGAAGUACGUCCGUUCGCGUGUAUGAGUGUCGGCAUUGAGCCACAACACGUCACCAUGGCAACAACCUUCCCAGCCGGGUAGGGGCGCAGGG